This 949-nucleotide long non-coding RNA is filed under the name Cyanistes caeruleus (blue tit). Its description in RNAcentral is "lncRNA (ENSCCEG00000010457.1)". The record is from RNAcentral. Lineage: Eukaryota; Metazoa; Chordata; Aves; Passeriformes; Paridae.
CGGGCACAGACCUCGAGCGCUGCUGUGGCACUUCGGGAAAACCCGACAGAAAUCCCCGAAAAAGCAGCUGGUGGUGCUGGCCCGAGGCUGCGUUACGCGUAUGGGUGUUACCCUGAUAGCACAGCGAGCAUGAAGUAAUACGGCAUUUCUGCCCCAAAGAAAUGGUCCAGUUCUGCUCUUUGGGGUUUUGUUCACCUUCCACAUAUACAGGUGGAUGCUGCUGGAGAAAAGAAAGGCAAAUCCAGUGCUAUGGAGAAGCAAGGCAGAAGGUGUAAGCAGCCGGGGAGUGCCCGGGUGCGGCACUGGAGCGUAGGGAGUCAGAGGAUUCCUGAGCAGCAGCGGCAGCAGCAGAGUGUCUCUGAUUAUCGGAGCCAAUGUUUUAUACAAAAGAACUUUCUUGAGGAGCCUUGCAGAGAGGUGGAGCUAAUGUGCUGGGAUUCCUUGAGAAAGAGAAGGAAACUGCUCUGGGAAGUACUGCCUGCCUCGGGGGAGAGAUGUUGAGGUUUGGAGAGGAAUGGCACAGAGCCUUCGAUUCACUGGAUGCCUGAACCAGGAUGCAUUGAAGACAAUGGAGCCAUGUAAAAUGAUGGCAAAUUGUGACCUCAGCAGGUUUUUAAAUUGUUCCAAAGGUGGAAAACUGAAUGAAGCUACCUUCUACUUACCACUGACAGACAGAGCUCAGGAUCCUAAGGGAUGUAGAAACUGCCUCAGUUCCUCUGCUCUCCUCUGGUGGCCUGAGCCAGCAAGAGCCAAGCGUGGUUUGGCUUGGUUUGGUCUGAGAUGGAAAGAAGACUCAUGCAGGAGAAUAUCUCUGGUCCUCUCCUGGAUCCCAGCAACCUUCUUUCUGUUGGAGAGAGAAAGAAAUUCCUGCUGUGUUGUUGAACAAACAAUAAGCUGCUGUGUGGUCAUGCUGGGCUAAACCCUGAAAUAAAGCUACAAAAAGUGCUCA